GACGAACGUUGGCGGCGUGCUUAACACAUGCAAGUCGAACGGAAAGGCCCUGCUUUUGUGGGGUGCUCGAGUGGCGAACGGGUGAGUAACACGUGAGUAACCUGCCCUUGACUUUGGGAUAACUUCAGGAAACUGGGGCUAAUACCGGAUAGGAGCUCCUGCUGCAUGGUGGGGGUUGGAAAGUUUCGGCGGUUGGGGAUGGACUCGCGGCUUAUCAGCUUGUUGGUGGGGUAGUGGCUUACCAAGGCUUUGACGGGUAGCCGGCCUGAGAGGGUGACCGGCCACAUUGGGACUGAGAUACGGCCCAGACUCCUACGGGAGGCAGCAGUGGGGAAUAUUGCACAAUGGGCGGAAGCCUGAUGCAGCAACGCCGCGUGCGGGAUGACGGCCUUCGGGUUGUAAACCGCUUUCGCCUGUGACGAAGCGUGAGUGACGGUAAUGGGUAAAGAAGCACCGGCUAACUACGUGCCAGCAGCCGCGGUGAUACGUAGGGUGCGAGCGUUGUCCGGAUUUAUUGGGCGUAAAGGGCUCGUAGGUGGUUGAUCGCGUCGGAAGUGUAAUCUUGGGGCUUAACCCUGAGCGUGCUUUCGAUACGGGUUGACUUGAGGAAGGUAGGGGAGAAUGGAAUUCCUGGUGGAGCGGUGGAAUGCGCAGAUAUCAGGAGGAACACCAGUGGCGAAGGCGGUUCUCUGGGCCUUUCCUGACGCUGAGGAGCGAAAGCGUGGGGAGCGAACAGGCUUAGAUACCCUGGUAGUCCACGCUGUAAACGGUGGGUACUAGGUGUGGGGUCCAUUCCACGGGUUCCGUGCCGUAGCUAACGCUUUAAGUACCCCGCCUGGGGAGUACGGCCGCAAGGCUAAAACUCAAAGGAAUUGACGGGGCCCCGCACAAGCGGCGGAGCAUGCGGAUUAAUUCGAUGCAACGCGUAGAACCUUACCUGGGUUUGACAUGGAUCGGGAGUGCUCAGAGAUGGGUGUGCCUCUUUUGGGGUCGGUUCACAGGUGGUGCAUGGCUGUCGUCAGCUCGUGUCGUGAGAUGUUGGGUUAAGUCUCGCAACGAGCGCAACCCUUGUUCACUGUUGCCAGCACGUUAUGGUGGGGACUCAGUGGAGACCGCCGGGGUCAACUCGGAGGAAGGUGGGGAUGACGUCAAGUCAUCAUGCCCCUUAUGUCCAGGGCUUCACGCAUGCUACAAUGGCUGGUACAGAGAGUGGCGAGCCUGUGAGGGUGAGCGAAUCUCGGAAAGCCGGUCUCGGUUCGGAUUGGGGUCUGCAACUCGACCUCAUGAAGUCGGAGUCGCUAGUAAUCGCAGAUCAGCAACGCUGCGGUGAAUACGUUCCCGGGGCU
This 1346-nucleotide ribosomal RNA is filed under the name uncultured bacterium. RNAcentral describes it as "partial 16S ribosomal RNA". It matches the Rfam family "Bacterial small subunit ribosomal RNA", at positions 28 to 1381 of the family's 1533-position model. The record is from RNAcentral.